UAACGCUGAGAUACGAUGUCGAGCACCUACGGGUGUGAAGUCAUUGAUGCCAUGCUUCCAGGAAAAGCCUCUAAGCUUCAGAUUGUAAGGAAUCGUACCCCAAACCGACACAGGUGGUCGGGUAGAGAAUACCAAGGCGCUUGAGAGAACUCGGGUGAAGGAACUAGGCAAAAUGGUACCGUAACUUCGGGAGAAGGUACGCUCUUAUCAGUGAAGUCCCUUGCGGAUGGAGCAG
Molecule: ribosomal RNA, 235 nt
Filed under: Vibrio toranzoniae
Lineage: Bacteria; Pseudomonadati; Pseudomonadota; Gammaproteobacteria; Vibrionales; Vibrionaceae
Description: Bacterial large subunit ribosomal RNA
Rfam family: Bacterial large subunit ribosomal RNA
Source: Rfam by way of RNAcentral